RNAcentral lists this ribosomal RNA (466 nucleotides) under uncultured organism. Its description in RNAcentral is "partial 16S ribosomal RNA". It matches the Rfam family "Bacterial small subunit ribosomal RNA", at positions 334 to 797 of the family's 1533-position model. The record is from RNAcentral.
CACUCUGCGGGAGGCAGCAGUGAGGAAUAUUGGACAAUGGGUGGAAGCCUGAUCCAGCCAUCCCGCGUGCAGGAAGACGGCCCUAUGGGUUGUAAACUGCUUUUAUCUGGGGAUAAUCCUACUUACGUGUAAGUAGCUGAAGGUACCAGAAGAAUAAGCACCGGCUAACUCCGUGCCAGCAGCCGCGGUAAUACGGAGGGUGCAAGCGUUAUCCGGAUUUAUUGGGUUUAAAGGGUCCGUAGGCGGACUGAUAAGUCAGUGGUGAAAUCCGACAGCUUAACUGUCGAACUGCCAUUGAUACUGUUAGUCUUGAGUAAGGUUGAAGUGGCUGGAAUAAGUAGUGUAGCGGUGAAAUGCAUAGAUAUUACUUAGAACACCAAUUGCGAAGGCAGGUCACUAAGUCUUAACUGACGCUGAUGGACGAAAGCGUGGGGAGCGAACAGGAUUAGAAACCCUGGUAGUCCCA